Molecule: unclassified non-coding RNA, 809 nt
Filed under: Hevea brasiliensis (rubber tree)
Lineage: Eukaryota; Viridiplantae; Streptophyta; Magnoliopsida; Malpighiales; Euphorbiaceae
Source: RNAcentral
UUUUUCUUUUUUUUUUUUUUUUGACAGUGGGUAAAAAGGUGGUACAGAGAAGGGACACACCUCAACACAAAACCAUGGCAAUUUUGUAAAGACAUGGGAUCCCACAUUUCUUCACAAAAUUGACGUGGUUUUGUAUUGAGGGGUGUCCCUUCUCUGUCCCUCCUUCCUACCUACUGUCAAAAAAAAAAACCCAGAUAUUGGUGACUUGAUGUGAAGCACCCUUGCCCUGUAGGGUGUCAGCUAGGCAUGCCCGUGAGGCUGGUCCUUCAAGAUCUCAUAUCAUUUUAACUUGAUUUGCAACCUAAGAGUAAAAAAUUUUGACCUUCAAUUCCCCAGGGAGGACUUCUAUGCCAGAAUUUCAAAAACAACAACUUGCAUCUAAAAGAAACUUUGUGAUAUAAAAUUAUAAGCAGCACAUUAAAUCAUCAGCUUGACUCCUAAAAAAUUUCAUGCAUUUCAAGUUAAUACCACAGAUUGAUUAGACUGAAGUAAAAGAAUCUUAACAUAUAAUCCAACUGGAUGGGCUGGAGUUGCUGCAAGGGCAUCUUGCUCCUCCCCUGAUAAAGCCUAAGAUGAAAACAACAGAACAAUAAAAGAAUAGCAAUUUGUCACCAACUAAUGACACUAAGUUGAGAGGGCAUUCAAAUCAUAAGGAACACAACCGUAAUGCUGUCAGUUGUAGAUAAGAAAGGAACGCACCAGCAAUGCUGUCAAAAGACUAUCCACAUAAGUUGCUUCAGCUAGUAAACUCAAAGGAACAGCCUGAAGAACAUCAGAUUUAAUAUGAACAAUAGGAGCUGAAAAAUCAA